This 253-nucleotide long non-coding RNA is filed under the name Nicotiana benthamiana. Its description in RNAcentral is "long non-coding RNA (NBEN_LNC001308)". Lineage: Eukaryota; Viridiplantae; Streptophyta; Magnoliopsida; Solanales; Solanaceae. The record is from RNAcentral.
UCUAAUACGUUCGGAAAAUAAAUUUUCACUAUUAUAUGGUACAACAACAAAUCCAGUAAUUUCCCACAAGUGAGGUCUGGGGAGGGUGAAAUGUACGCAGCCUUACCCCUACCCUAGAAGGACAGAGUUUGUUUCCGAUCGACCCUCGGCUAGAGAACGUAUGACAAAAGUAAUGGCAACAAGAAGGAAUAACGAGAUAAAAAUACUGAAGUCAAGAAAGCAGCUAAACUCUAGGUAAUCAUAGCAAUCUAUG